RNAcentral lists this long non-coding RNA (3506 nucleotides) under Scophthalmus maximus (turbot). RNAcentral describes it as "lncRNA (ENSSMAG00000028456.1)". The record is from RNAcentral. Lineage: Eukaryota; Metazoa; Chordata; Actinopteri; Pleuronectiformes; Scophthalmidae.
UCUCCAAGUCUGAAGCCCCCCCUGUCUCCGUCUCAACACUCAGAGCUGAAGGCAGUGUUACAGAGGUCGCCCAUCCGUUUCCGGGGCAACAGAGGAGACCUGCCUACUUGCACCGAGGAUCCAGCCAGUGGGGAGAAAGAGCAAAGAGCGAAGGAGGGUGAGAGAGCCAGUGACACAGGGAAAGAGACAGCGGACGUAAAGAAGGAGGCUGUCCAGAAGGAGCAGCUCAAGGCAGAGAAAGGUGGAGGGACGGUAGCUGAAACCAAGCACCCCCCUCCAGGGGAGCAAGAAGUCCCGGGCUCCGGGUGUCCCUCCUCUACAGCUCCGGCUCGACAAGGAGCACCUGCCCCCCGACUCUGCAGUCCAGCCGCAUCCCUCAUCAAAGCUCCGUCCGCCCCGGAGAGGCCCCCCGCACUGACCCAAACCCUGGAGAAGCCCUCUCUGACCUCCACAUUCCAGAAGAAGAGCCCCAGCACAGCCCCAGCACUGGCCCCAACUCUCGAAAAACUGCUGGUGUCCCCGCCGCCCCGAGACAAGACCUCCAGCACAAUCCCAGCCGCAUCUGAAGUUCCAGAAAACCCCCACGUGAGUCCGGUGUCCCACAAGAAGAAGAGCCCUGGCACAGUGGAUCUAGGAAACAGCACACAGGAGAGCGGAGAGGCGCUCUCUGAACAGCACACAGUGAAGGCAGAGCCAGCAGACCAAAGAACUGAGCCCCCGCCGUCUGAAUAACACACACACACACACGCACACACAGACUUACCUGAGGAGAGAGAGGGGGAGGGGUCUGUGACAUCACUGAGACCAGGAGCAGGGAGGGUACAUGAGUCAGAGUCUGAGAGUAGUGGAAAACAUCUGCUGCGUCCCACGUCAGGAGUGUUCUCUUCAAAAGUCUGAGAAAUAGAUAUUAUUAAGAUCCCAAACUUUGGUUUUGUCUGCAGAUAUGAAGCGUCAGAUUUUUGAUUCUGCAGAUCCCCCCGAGCAGCAAAAUAUGCAAACGUGAGCUGCAGCAUGUCAGCGUCACACACACCAACCGAGCAUCUUCACAGUCUCUCAUCAAAAGUGAUGAGCGUGUGUGUGUGUGUGUGUGUGUGUGUGUGUGUGUGUGUGUGUGUGUGUGUGUGUGUGUGUGUGUGUGUGUGUGUGUGUGUGUGUGUGUGUGUGUGUGUGUGUGUGUGUGUGUGUGCGCGCGCGUGUGUGUUUGUGUGUGUGUGUGUGCGCGUGUGUGUUUGUGUGUGUGUGUGUGUGUAAUUCAUUAAUGACACAUAUGCACAUUAUAGCAUCUGCUCACAUAAAUGUGAUCAUUAUAAUUUCAGAGUGUGUUUUUUAUUCUUUUCACUUUGCCUUCUUCUUCUUACUAUUAGUGUUUUCAGUGCCAGACAAUAACCAGGUCCUUCUUCAGCCACGUCUUCAUAUUUUAUUGUGACUUUCAUUUAAGUGAUUCAUCUGCAUUUCGACUCAUCCAGAUCAAGGUUUAUAUUGUAAUUCUUCAAUAUUUUGAUUGGAAUAUUUUUAAAUCUCAUUUUGAAUUCAUUCCCUCCCAAUGCUCUGCUUCUGUUUAGUCAUUGGCUUGAUAUCGGGUGUUUGGAUGGUGCAAUGCUGAGGUAGUGAGAAAAAUACCGUUACAUUAUACCAGACCUACAUGAUGUGAGCUGCAUGAAUGGAUUGACAGGACAAAACCUAUAGUACUUCCUUUUAAUGAAUAUCAGUGAGAUUUAUGGAUAUCUGCAAAGAGCUGUGUGGCACAGGUUUAAAGUUGAACGCCCAGAGUUUACAGAGGCUUUGUCUUGACAAUAUUAUAUACAGUGAGUUGGAAGGUUUACCAUGCUCGAAAUAGUUUUCACUGAUCCAUAAAAAAAGUACAACUAUGCUGUAAUCCAUCCACCACACUUGUCUGAUGUGUGGUCAAAUGAAGGCUGUAGCAGGAUGUAGUGUAGUGCAGAGGUCACUCUCACAAGUUAAAAUCAGUCACAUCACUGCUUAUUUCUUUAAUAAUGCAGUUGUGGUUUUAUUCAUUAGCACUUUGAGAUUGUUUUAAUGCAAUGCAUUAUUAUUAUUGUUAUUAUUAUUAUUAUUAUUAUUAUUAUUAUUAUUAUUAUUAUUAUUAUUAUCAUUACUCAAAGCAGUGUCUGAAACUGACCAACAAUGAGUUAGAUACUGUUGAGGUCCAUGUCCCUCUUGUAUUACAGAUUCGAUAGCUGUGUCAGUCAUCAUCCCACCUUUUUGUUUGAAUCCUGCCUCAGGGGCAGCUCGACUUCUGCCCACAAAGCCUUCUAGCUUGUACUUUUUUUUGCAACUAUAGAGAAACAUCAAAUCAGAGGCACAGCACCACACCUCACUCCAGAAACGUGCGACUUUCGAGGUUUGGAACCAGGCCAAGAUUAUGCUACACAAACAUAAGGAUUUUGUCUCAAUUUGAUCUUUGUAGAUUUAAAAAAAAAAAAAAAUUGCAGUUCUUAUUCCAGCACUGACAUCUUGAGAAGAACAUUAACAAUUCAAUAAUGUCUUCAUCAUCUGGUUAUAUUCUGGUUAUUUUCGUUUUUGUACACACUGAAAAUGAUGUCAAAGUAUUUGAGGAUUUACUUUUGCCUUGUGUUUUAAUGUUUUCACAAUAAGCCUUUUAGAAUCGUCACAUUAUCACUCGGGACACUAAAGCUCUGCAUGUUUCUGCAUAUUUCGAUGAAAUCAAAAUCAAGAUGUGACUGAAUUCAGAUUCAGACCACCGUGUAUGUGUGACGACUAUUUGGCGGAUACAUCAGAGGCCAGAUCGGCCCUACAGUAUGUACAGCGUGUGAGAUAAGAAGUCUAUCAAACUCUCAGGGUGGUUGUUGAGAGUGUGUGUGUGUGUGUGUGCUGUGUGAGAACAGACCUCAGAUCAGCUCCCUGUGGCGUCUGUGUCCCCGAGACUCCGUCUCGCCCCGGGGUAGAGUCUAUUUUCUACCGUCAUGUUUGUCUUUGCCUUGCACGCACGGGAUAUGUACAAAACGACAUGAAGCCAACAAACGAAAAAACAAAGUUAUGAACAGAGUGUAAAUCCAUACCUAUACUUGUUAAUAAUUAUUAAAAAGUUGAUUGAGUUGUGUCAUAAAUUGGUAAUGUCUCGUUUUCAUUUUGAUUCUGUGUUUUUUUUGAGGCGGGCCUUUUUGUGAAUCCAACACUUUUUUUGCACAUUUCACUGGGCCGGUUUGAUCUGAACUCCUCACAUAGUUCAUGGAACCAUGUCUGGUCGGCGGGGCAUAUUGGGACACGAUACAGAAAGCGAAGGUGGUUGUUCCCUUUUACCGGUUCUGACCCUUUUCUCAUGUGCUGCUCCUGUGACAUACCUGAGUAAUCGCUCUGUAGGCCGAGCAGUGAGACGUGAAACUGAAAUUGUCCCACACGUCCAGUCAUUACUUCCGAUCAACUGGAGAACUGCCGGAAGCGAACACUUAUGGUAAUUGCUCAUCAUUAGCAUAUGAGGACCUUUUUGUUCUCACCGUGGUCAAUUGAUCCUACUCCGAAACUUG